GGGCGUAUAGCUCAGCGGUAGAGCACCUCCCUUACAAGGAGGUGGCCGCAGGUUCGAUCCCUGCUGCGCCCA
This 72-nucleotide transfer RNA is filed under the name Nocardioidaceae bacterium. RNAcentral describes it as "tRNA-Val". It matches the Rfam family "tRNA". Rfam says of the family: Transfer RNA (tRNA) molecules are approximately 80 nucleotides in length. Their secondary structure includes four short double-helical elements and three loops (D, anti-codon, and T loops). Further hydrogen bonds mediate the characteristic L-shaped molecular structure. tRNAs have two regions of fundamental functional importance: the anti-codon, which is responsible for specific mRNA codon recognition, and the 3' end, to which the tRNAs corresponding amino acid is attached (by aminoacyl-tRNA synthetases). tRNAs cope with the degeneracy of the genetic code in two manners: having more than one tRNA (with a specific anti-codon) for a particular amino acid; and 'wobble' base-pairing, i.e. permitting non-standard base-pairing at the 3rd anti-codon position. Lineage: Bacteria; Bacillati; Actinomycetota; Actinomycetes; Propionibacteriales; Nocardioidaceae. The record is from RNAcentral.